RNAcentral lists this unclassified non-coding RNA (647 nucleotides) under uncultured Prochlorococcus sp. Its description in RNAcentral is "partial 16S-23S ribosomal RNA intergenic spacer; may also contain 16S ribosomal RNA and 23S ribosomal RNA". The stretch from base 1 to 93 matches the Rfam family "Bacterial small subunit ribosomal RNA", at positions 1441 to 1533 of the family's 1533-position model. The record is from RNAcentral. Lineage: Bacteria; Bacillati; Cyanobacteriota; Cyanophyceae; Synechococcales; Prochlorococcaceae.
UUGUGGAGGAGGACGCCGAAGGUGGGGCUAAUGACUGGGGUGAAGUCGUAACAAGGUAGCCGUACCGGAAGGUGCGGCUGGAUCACCUCCUAACAGGGAGACAACAAAAUGUUUAAUAUUAUUAUUUUGUCACCUUAGGUCGAUCGGUAUCUCACGUUCUUACUAUGUUAAGAAUUUCAUUUCCUAAGUUUUUCUAGGUCACACCCAUUAUUUUUCCUGGGCCAUUAGCUCAGGUGGUUAGAGCGCACCCCUGAUAAGGGUGAGGUCCCUGGUUCAAGUCCAGGAUGGCCCAUAUCUCUAUGUUGGGGGUAUAGCUCAGUUGGUAGAGCGCCUGCUUUGCAAGCAGGAUGUCAGCGGUUCGAGUCCGCUUGCCUCCACUGAUUACCACCUCUUCCAUAAUCGGUAGAAAGGAAAUGUUUUGAGUUGUGAUCAUCAUUCUGAACGAAUCUAGCUUCCUAAUAAAAGCAUUAAGAUGCUGGACUCAUUGAAUUAAUUUCAUUGUUUUCAGAGAACCUUGACAACUGCAUAGAUUAUUUUUAAAGAUAAUAAGCAUCUUUAAUGAUGCAGAUUUAUUAUUUGUGCGAAUGCAUUAAUAACAAUUCUAUUAAGCUGAUGCUUCAAUUUUGAAGUUAUUGGUCAAGCUACAA